CCAUGCCAUAAGCAAACCCCCUCUGCCACGCUGCCAGACUUUUGAGCCAGUGGACUAUGAAGUGAAACCUCUACAAACUUUAAAGAUAUGCAAGAACAGCAAGAGAUCACUUCUUCCUUCACCGCACAAUUUCCCAACGAUGAACAGUUCAUGUGGCGAUGAUUAGCAUCAUGUGAUGUUUUAAGCAGACACUCACAACACUGGAGCUCACCUCAAGAGCAGCAGGAGAGAGAAGAACAUUGGCCAGUCCAUCCAAUCAGUCAGUCCAAAUCCAGCAAGUUUGAGUGUAGAAGAUUCUGGAGAAAACUGGAAGAAACUAAGAAGCUUCUAGGAAAUGAAUCAUUCCUGCAAGCCAUCCAGCACUGUAACGUACCCUGCAUUGAUGGGAAGCACAUGAAGCAGCCUACUGCAGAAAUUAUCAGACAAUAUUUUCCGUGCACAUCAUAGCCAUUAAACAGUGCUGGGAAGCACAACUGUGCAGCACAGAGCUUCAUACCUAAGUCACAUCCCUUCCAAAAUGCAAGAUAUGUCAGAUUUCCCAGGAAAAAGGAGAGAGAUAAGUAAUGAGGCCACUGACUUUGUGACAUACUGUGUGAAACUGACCACCAAUAACCCAUGACUUUAGUACGUGUAAAGUAAAUAGUUUCAGAGGCCGUAUUUCUGAUGUUGAAUAUAAAGACUGCCCAGCAAGAAGGAGACUGAAGAGUUGGUCACUGAAUGAUCAGUUCUAUUUGGAUAUGAGGACUGUCACAACAAAACCCAAAGACCUGAACACAUUCAGCACAAAGGUCCACACAGGGUUUUGCACUGGCAGCUAACUUCUGGCACCUUGCCUCUAUGUAGAUUAUCUUAAGCAUCAUCUGUCAAUCAAAUGAUUAUUUCUCCUGACAGCGGGUAGAAUUUUAACCUAUCAUUCUUUACGUAACUAUGGACAACAUUAAAGUUCAUACAUCCACCUUAGAAUGAAGUGAGUUGAUUUGAUUUUUUCCAAGCAUGACACCUACCUGACAUGCUUUACAUCAGUUUCUAAUGUUAUUCAGGUAUUUGCAUAAAUAUUGAAAAGACAAGCACUUUACUGUUUCUAAUACUCUUUGUUAUAUAACCCUUUACUGAGUCUCACGGCCACACUGAGAAUAAAGCAUGAAAAAUAUUCUUCAAUGUCUUCUGUUUCUGGCAACUUGAUAGAUGGAACA
Chinchilla lanigera (long-tailed chinchilla) is the source of this 1193-nucleotide long non-coding RNA. RefSeq lists it as uncharacterized. The transcript has 5 exons. NCBI's taxonomy places the organism in Eukaryota, Metazoa, Chordata, Mammalia, Rodentia, Chinchillidae. The record is from RefSeq and is a predicted model, not a curated record.